UUGACCGUGUACUCCCAGAUGUCGCCUUCCGCGGCCAGGGUCUCGUCGCCGAAGUGGUCGCCGUCGGCGAGGGUGCCCAGCACGGUCUCGUCGCCGUACUCGCCGGUGCCGAUCUUGGUCACCUUGCCGUGCGCGAUCAGGAACGCCUGGUCGGAGCGGUUGCCGAACUCGACGAUCACAUCGCCGGGCUGGUACUCCUGCUGGACGAACCGGUCCGCGAGGGCGGAGAGCACCUCCUCGUCGUCGAAGCCGCGCAGCAGUGGCAGCUCGCAGAGCUCGGGUGGGAUGACGCGGAUGGUCGCCCCGGUGUUGGUGAAGGUGACCCGGCCGUCCCCGACCGCGUAGCUGAGCCUGCGGUUGACCCGGUAGGCACCACCAGCGGCCCGCACCCACGGCAGCACCUUCAGCAGCCAGCGCGAGGAGAUGCCCUGCAUCUGCGGGACCGACUUGGUCGUCGUCGCGAGGUUCCGCGCCGCGGCCGUCCCGAGGCUGAGCUGCCGGCUCGCCCCG
RNAcentral lists this antisense RNA (510 nucleotides) under Allokutzneria albata. RNAcentral's name for it is "Kibdelosporangium albatum Saccharopolyspora sRNA 350". It matches the Rfam family "Saccharopolyspora sRNA 350". The record is from Rfam by way of RNAcentral. Lineage: Bacteria; Bacillati; Actinomycetota; Actinomycetes; Pseudonocardiales; Pseudonocardiaceae.